GCAGUGUUCAAAGUAUUUAGCACAUUCUGAACAGAUCUGGAGCGGGUUUCUUCCAGAGAGCUUUGAGAAUCCCCUCCCUCCUCUUCCAAGUCCCCACCUCUCUCCUGAACAGAUUAUUGAGGAGUUAAAGGAGCUUGCAUUGGUCCCUGUGUCGUCUCUAUGAGGCUUAGAGUUCCAGAGGAAACAGAUGGGAUAAGAAAACCAGGGGAUCUAAUUACAGAGGCUUAUUUAGCAAUCCAAGCCUCAAGCCGCUGCUCCUCGCAGUUUCUCUUUCAGAGGUAUUCGUCUCAAAGCCUUGAGACAGCUACGGUUGUUUAACAUGGAGAACGAGGAAGAGGAAGAUGAAAUCUUUACCACAUUUCAGGGAGGAUAUGAAGGGCAGGAAGAUGUGGAGGAGCAGGAGGAAGAAGAACAAAAGGAAGAGGAGCCAGAGGCUGAGAGGAAGAGCAGUUGGGAUGUCCCAAUUCCAAGUCGAUCAUUGGCCAGUCGCAGAGCUUCACUUCCAUGUCCGGCUCAGCUGAAUGCGAUGCAUCUGAGCCGUCUACACGCUGCCACCACGAGCCCUAGCCCGGCGUACCUGAGCCACUAGCUUCAGAGCGGUGAGGCGAGGCCGUGCUCUCGCUCCAGCCAUGUUACCAAUAGCGAGGAGGGAGCACACACCAAGAGCAGCGCAUGUGAACGACGCCCACAUGCCAUCCCAACCAUCCCUGAGCUGCAUGAGCCUCUGGAGAGAAAAGCUUGGUUUAGGAGCCGCAAUGUCAUGUCUCUGGUUGGUGUGAUAUGAUUUUUUUUUUAUGUGUAAAAAUGUGAAUGAUUACCAAUAGGUU
Molecule: long non-coding RNA, 827 nt
Filed under: Sinocyclocheilus anshuiensis
Lineage: Eukaryota; Metazoa; Chordata; Actinopteri; Cypriniformes; Cyprinidae
Description: lncRNA (ENSSANG00000001507.1)
Source: RNAcentral